RNAcentral lists this unclassified non-coding RNA (460 nucleotides) under Lourtella resinosa. RNAcentral's name for it is "partial external transcribed spacer". The stretch from base 404 to 460 matches the Rfam family "Eukaryotic small subunit ribosomal RNA", at positions 1 to 57 of the family's 1831-position model. Lineage: Eukaryota; Viridiplantae; Streptophyta; Magnoliopsida; Myrtales; Lythraceae. The record is from RNAcentral.
UGGUGGCAACCCACUGGACGGCUCGCUUGCCAACUUCUCAAUGCAUUUCCAUGCGUUCGACGCAUGGAAUGAUGGAUGGUUCCUGUGCUGUUUACCGUGAAUGUGGAAUUCGGUGUCUUGUUGGCAUGUAGCUCCGUCGACUGCCUUAAGGGGCAGUGGAUGGACAGCGCAGUAGUCCUCGCGGUCCACGCUUGCCUAGCCUCUUGAUGAGUAUGGACGCGAUGGGCCGCGGGGAGCUUACUCGAUCUCUUGGAUGCGGAAUGUCUCAAUGGCAUGUGGCUUUGUAGCCUUUAUGUGCCUUAUUAUGUUGCACCAAACGGAUGACACUCAUGCCUCGCCAUUCUUGACCCCCGGGCCUUGUGCUUGUGAGUCAUGUGGCGGUAUUGAUGUCGUCAAUGGAUGCUACCUGGUUGAUCCUGCCAGUAGUCAUAUGCUUGUCUCAAAGAUUAAGCCAUGCAUG